GACGAACGCUGGCGGCGUGCCUAAUACAUGCAAGUCGAACGAACUCUGGUAUUGAUUGGUGCUUGCAUCAUGAUUUACAUUUGAGUGAGUGGCGAACUGGUGAGUAACACGUGGGAAACCUGCCCAGAAGCGGGGGAUAACACCUGGAAACAGAUGCUAAUACCGCAUAACAACUUGGACCGCAUGGUCCGAGCUUGAAAGAUGGCUUCGGCUAUCACUUUUGGAUGGUCCCGCGGCGUAUUAGCUAGAUGGUGGGGUAACGGCUCACCAUGGCAAUGAUACGUAGCCGACCUGAGAGGGUAAUCGGCCACAUUGGGACUGAGACACGGCCCAAACUCCUACGGGAGGCAGCAGUAGGGAAUCUUCCACAAUGGACGAAAGUCUGAUGGAGCAACGCCGCGUGAGUGAAGAAGGGUUUCGGCUCGUAAAACUCUGUUGUUAAAGAAGAACAUAUCUGAGAGUAACUGUUCAGGUAUUGACGGUAUUUAACCAGAAAGCCACGGCUAACUACGUGCCAGCAGCCGCGGUAAUACGUAGGUGGCAAGCGUUGUCCGGAUUUAUUGGGCGUAAAGCGAGCGCAGGCGGUUUUUUAAGUCUGAUGUGAAAGCCUUCGGCUCAACCGAAGAAGUGCAUCGGAAACUGGGAAACUUGAGUGCAGAAGAGGACAGUGGAACUCCAUGUGUAGCGGUGAAAUGCGUAGAUAUAUGGAAGAACACCAGUGGCGAAGGCGGCUGUCUGGUCUGUAACUGACGCUGAGGCUCGAAAGUAUGGGUAGCAAACAGGAUUAGAUACCCUGGUAGUCCAUACCGUAAACGAUGAAUGCUAAGUGUUGGAGGGUUUCCGCCCUUCAGUGCUGCAGCUAACGCAUUAAGCAUUCCGCCUGGGGAGUACGGCCGCAAGGCUGAAACUCAAAGGAAUUGACGGGGGCCCGCACAAGCGGUGGAGCAUGUGGUUUAAUUCGAAGCUACGCGAAGAACCUUACCAGGUCUUGGCAUACUAUGCAAAUCUAAGAGAUUAGACGUUCCCUUCGGGGACAUGGAUACAGGUGGUGCAUGGUUGUCGUCAGCUCGUGUCGUGAGAUGUUGGGUUAAGUCCCGCAACGAGCGCAACCCUUAUUAUCAGUUGCCAGCAUUAAGUUGGGCACUCUGGUGAGACUGCCGGUGACAAACCGGAGGAAGGUGGGGAUGACGUCAAAUCAUCAUGCCCCUUAUGACCUGGGCUACACACGUGCUACAAUGGAUGGUACAACGAGUUGCGAACUCGCGAGAGUAAGCUAAUCUCUUAAAGCCAUUCUCAGUUCGGAUUGUAGGCUGCAACUCGCCUACAUGAAGUCGGAAUCGCUAGUAAUCGCGGAUCAGCAUGCCGCGGUGAAUACGUUCCCGGGCCUUGUACACACCGCCCGUCACACCAUGAGAGUUUGUAACACCCAAAGUCGGUGGGGUAACCUUUUAGGAACCAGCCGCCUAAGGUGGGACAGAUGAUUAGGGUG
Molecule: ribosomal RNA, 1489 nt
Filed under: Lactiplantibacillus argentoratensis
Lineage: Bacteria; Bacillati; Bacillota; Bacilli; Lactobacillales; Lactobacillaceae
Description: bacterial SSU rRNA
Rfam family: Bacterial small subunit ribosomal RNA
Source: RNAcentral